RNAcentral lists this ribosomal RNA (459 nucleotides) under uncultured bacterium. Its description in RNAcentral is "partial 16S ribosomal RNA". It matches the Rfam family "Bacterial small subunit ribosomal RNA", at positions 338 to 795 of the family's 1533-position model. The record is from RNAcentral.
CCUACGGGUGGCAGCAGUGAGGAAUAUUGGUCAAUGGUCGGGAGACUGAACCAGCCAAGCCGCGUGAGGGAUGAAGGUACAGAGUAUCGUAAACCUCUUUUGUCAGGGAACAAAGGCGGGGACGUGUCCCCGGAUGAGUGUACCUGAAGAAAAAGCAUCGGCUAACUCCGUGCCAGCAGCCGCGGUAAUACGGAGGAUGCGAGCGUUAUCCGGAUUUAUUGGGGUUAAAGGGUGCGCAGGCGGUCUGUUAAGUCAUCGGUCAAAGCCCGGGGCUCAACCCCGGCCCGCCGUUGAAACUGGCAGUCUUGAGGUUGAGAGAAGUAUGCGGAAUGCGCGGUGUAGCGGUGAAAUGCAUAGAUAUCGCGCAGAACUCCGAUUGCGAAGGCAGCAUGCCGGCUCCACACUGACGCUGAGGCACGAAAGCGUGGGUAUCGAACAGGAUUAGAUACCCCUGUAGUC